GUAGGUGGCAAGCGUUGUCCGGAAUUAUUGGGCGUAAAGCGCGCGCAGGCGGUUCUUUAAGUCUGAUGUGAAAGCCCACGGCUCAACCGUGGAGGGUCAUUGGAAACUGGAGAACUUGAGUACAGAAGAGGAAAGCGGAAUUCCACGUGUAGCGGUGAAAUGCGUGGAGAUGUGGAGGAACACCAGUGGCGAAGGCGGCUUUCUGGUCUGUAACUGACGCUGAGGCGCGAAAGCGUGGGGAGCAAACAGGGAUUAGAUACCCUGGUAGUCCACGCCGUAAACGAUGAGUGCUAAGUGUUAGGGGGGUUUCCGCCCCCUUAGUGCUGCAGCUAACGCAUUAAGCACUCCGCCUGGGGAGUACGGCCGCAAGGCUG
This 374-nucleotide ribosomal RNA is filed under the name uncultured organism. Its description in RNAcentral is "partial 16S ribosomal RNA". It matches the Rfam family "Bacterial small subunit ribosomal RNA", at positions 527 to 896 of the family's 1533-position model. The record is from RNAcentral.